This 659-nucleotide long non-coding RNA is filed under the name Pan troglodytes (chimpanzee). RNAcentral's name for it is "lncRNA (ENSPTRG00000054554.1)". Lineage: Eukaryota; Metazoa; Chordata; Mammalia; Primates; Hominidae. The record is from RNAcentral.
UCUCUCUCCCUUCCUCCCUCCUUUCCUUCCUUCUUGCCUUCCUCCCUCUUGUUUCCUCCCUUCUCAGGUACUCAGUUAUUUCUGAGUAUUGCUCUGUGCCUGGCACUGUGCUGUACAUUGAGGAUAUGAAGAUGAGUAAGUCUCAGUCUAUAUCUUUAGAGACCUCACAGCCUGGAAGGAGAGUUAAAAAAUAAUUGCUAUUCAACAUGGCAAUGGUUAUAAAGGAGCAGAUUUUCCAAACUGGUGUUUCAAGGAACAUUCUUUGGCAGGAUGUUAAAAAUGGGAAACAGCAAGCCUGAAAAAGGAAAUUGACGAAGAAACAACUUGGUUAUUCUUGACUCAGUGGCCAAGGAGGGAACACAGCCCAGAAUCUAAAAGUGACGCAGUUGGCAGAGCUGUGUGGUGCGGUGCUGGUUCCCAGGAACACAGCAAGAGGCACUUUACUGAGGGAACGCUGCGUGCCUGCAACUCUGCGUGGGAGACUUCAGCCACAAGUGGGUUUUUGUCUGUGUGUAAGUGCCAUUGAGUGAACCCAAGAAGGGAACAAACAAACCAGCCCUGAAUCUUUCUAGCACAUCUUCAGCUUUGCUCUCUUAUAUAUAGGAAAUGAGGGACAGUGCUUGGAGAACCUGCAGGAAAACUAAUCUAAAAGCCAGUCC